RNAcentral lists this ribosomal RNA (497 nucleotides) under uncultured bacterium. Its description in RNAcentral is "partial 16S ribosomal RNA". It matches the Rfam family "Bacterial small subunit ribosomal RNA", at positions 28 to 507 of the family's 1533-position model. The record is from RNAcentral.
GAUGAACGCUGGCGGCGUGCCUAAUACAUGCAAGUCGAGCGAACAGACGAGGAGCUUGCUCCUCUGACGUUAGCGGCGGACGGGUGAGUAACACGUGGAUAACCUACCUAUAAGACUGGGAUAACUUCGGGAAACCGGAGCUAAUACCGGAUAAUAUAUUGAACCGCAUGGUUCAAUAGUGAAAGACGGUUUUGCUGUCACCUAUAGAUGGAUCCGCGCCGCAUUAGCUAGUUGGUAAGGUAACGGCUUACCAAGGCAACGAUGCGUAGCCGACCUGAGAGGGUGAUCGGCCACACUGGAACUGAGACACGGUCCAGACUCCGACGGGAGGCAGCAGUAGGGAAUCUUCCGCAAAGGGCGAAAGCCUGACGGAGCAACGCCGCGUGAGUGAUGAAGGUCUUCGGAUCGUAAAACUCUGUUAUUAGGGAAGAACAAAUGUGUAAGUAACUAUGCACGUCUUGACGGUACCUAAUCAGAAAGCCACGGCUAACUACGUG